AUUGAACGCUGGCGGCAUGCCUUACACAUGCAAGUCGAACGGCAGCAUGGAGAGCUUGCUCUCUGAUGGCGAGUGGCGAACGGGUGAGUAAUGCAUCGGAACGUACCGUGUAAUGGGGGAUAACGUAGCGAAAGUUACGCUAAUACCGCAUACGACCUGAGGGUGAAAGCAGGGGAUCGCAAGACCUUGCGUUAUACGAGCGGCCGAUGUCAGAUUAGCUAGUUGGUGAGGUAAAGGCUCACCAAGGCGACGAUCUGUAGCGGGUCUGAGAGGAUGAUCCGCCACACUGGGACUGAGACACGGCCCAGACUCCGUCGGGAGGCAGCAGUGGGGAAUUUUGGACAAUGGGGGCAACCCUGAUCCAGCCAUGCCGCGUGAGUGAAGAAGGCCUUCGGGUUGUAAAGCUCUUUCGGCCGGGAAGAAAUCGCACAGGCUAAUACUCUGUGUGGAUGACGGUACCGGCAUAAGAAGCACCGGCUAACUACGUGCCAGCCGCCGCGGUAA
RNAcentral lists this ribosomal RNA (504 nucleotides) under uncultured bacterium. RNAcentral describes it as "partial 16S ribosomal RNA". It matches the Rfam family "Bacterial small subunit ribosomal RNA", at positions 30 to 523 of the family's 1533-position model. The record is from RNAcentral.